This is a long non-coding RNA of Magallana angulata, 1606 nucleotides long. RefSeq lists it as uncharacterized. The record is from RefSeq and is a predicted model, not a curated record. NCBI's taxonomy places the organism in Eukaryota, Metazoa, Mollusca, Bivalvia, Ostreida, Ostreidae. The transcript has 4 exons.
AUGUGCGUUGGUAUGUGCAUGUUUGUGUGUUUUGUAUAUUUUAAUUUGUAUUUUUGACUGAUAAAUGUAUUUUUAUUGACUGUCGUAGAAUCUGGGAGAAAGAAUCAUUUUUUAUGCUACGUGUUAAUUUUUUUCGAUUUAAAAAAUAAUUUAAAAAAGAGAAAUGUUGAAUUUUGCUUCGAUUUGUAAUUGAGUUGCGUGUUCGUUUGUCCUUUUUUGUUUGUGUUUUUUUUUUAUGUGUUAUUUUUAUCCUGUUUGACUUUUUAUCUUAUGUUUAGAUGUAUGGUGUUUGUUUUUUAAGGUGUAAGCGAUUUUAACAUUCAUUUAUUUUAAUAUAAUGAUUUUCCAUUUUAAUUAAUUUUCAUUCAUGGUAAUAUAAUGUUUUCUUUUAGAAAUUUUGAUCCAGAGUAGGUUAAUGGCACGCCAGUUUAUUAUGAUAGCAGGGAAAUCAUUUGAGAUAAAAUUGUACUGUGCGGUUGCGUAAUACAAGGAUAUCAGCGACUGGUUAUGUAUGCAUUAAAGUUUGGAUUGCAAUAAUAAAUUAUUUUGUAAUUUAUUCCUUAAUGUAAUGUAAACUAAUGUAAAUAUUGAUUUUGAACGGAUUUUAAAUUCAUUACCCCAAUAUUAUUCAUCUCAUAUUGUAAAUAAAACAGAACAGUUCAAACAAAGUGUUGGCAUGAUCUUAUUUAAAAAAUUUUAAACAUGUGAUGCUAAUAAUUAGCAUAGAUAGAUAAUAAAAAAUGGUAUUAGAAAACUAUGUAUUGACAUAUCCUCUUUGACGUGGCUAAAUGAUACUAGAGUCAAUCAUACAGCUAUAAGACAGAAAGAUAUUGAAUGCUUUUGAUAUCAAUUUAUUUAUUGGGUGUUACAUUUCUUUUUUUGACAAAAUACAUGGAAACAGUUGUAACAAAAACAUCCUUUAAAGUGGCACGGUGACUCAAAACAGAUGUUCUACAUUUUGAUUAUGAUAAGGGAAAUAGAAAGAGCUACUCAAAAUUUCAUUACAUGUAUACGGAAUGUUUUACGCCUCUUAAGUCAUAAACUAUCAAUUUACAGGUCAUUAACACUCAUCCGGAAAUUGCACAUGUUAACAAACCGAGUUAUUCUGGACAUUGGUUUAGUGUCAUGUGAUUGCGAAUUCCGCUGAAAAACGAAUUCAAAUUUAAGCUAUUCGAUUUCUGAGAUAUAAAUGGAGACCUCUCACGAGGAAGAUAUGGAUUUUGAGGACAGAUUCAGCUCAGAUGUACAACGUUUUACAUUGACAGCAAUAUGAAUCAGAAUGUGUCAUGCUAAACAUGUUAUUCACUGUUUGUAAUUAAAAUGUUGUAUGAUUGUCUGAAAAAAUAACGACACGAUAAUAAGGAUGAUUACGAAGAAGCAGAUGAUGUUGAUUUAGAGCCUGAGGAGGACUCAUCAGAAGUAAAUAGUAUGUGGAAUGCCACAAGUGAGGACAUCAGUGAUGAGCAGAAGCUUCUAAGAGAAAGAAGAUUCCUUGUCUGCAAGAUUGCCCUCCUUGAUCUUAUCAAAAGGUCAACAGGUGUAGAGAGUGGGCAAGCAGUCAACCCAGAUAGUGUGGUUGAAGGAGAACAGAUUAAGUACAAGUUUA